This is a long non-coding RNA of Humulus lupulus (European hop), 677 nucleotides long. RefSeq lists it as uncharacterized. Lineage: Eukaryota; Viridiplantae; Streptophyta; Magnoliopsida; Rosales; Cannabaceae. The record is from RefSeq and is a predicted model, not a curated record. The transcript is spliced from 3 exons.
GGCAGAAAGAGGGGAAAGGUUGCUGUCUUGGAACUAGUAGUUGAUGUGUACGCUAUUGAGUUUGUAAGAUUCAUCACAUUUAUUAGUCGCCCUUCAUAUGUUUCUGCAGCAGCUAUUAAGGAAAAUUUAUUUGAUGUGGCUUUAAAAACAAAUAUUCUUGAUACUGGCUCUAAUGGUUCCUUGAGGUAAGGCCUUUAGUUCGAUUUUCCAAGUUUAAUAUAGUUCUACACACAUCAGAGGUCAAUAUUUUAAAGACUGGUUGUUCUUUACAGGCCAGUCUGAUUUUCUUUCUUUUUAAAAAAAUCUAUUUUAGGUGCUUAAACUGAUUAGAAAAGGUAUCGCGUUGACAUCAUACGCUGGAAAGCUGGUUGGGGUCAUCUAGGACAUGUUACUUCUGAUUCUUCAAUCCAUAGUGCUCUUUUUCAGAUUGUUUGCAGGACUUCACAAGCAUUGGAGGUCUGAAUGCUCUGAUUCUGUUUGGUCAGAAUUUGCUAUUUAAUUUUGUUUCUUCACUGAUUUGAGCAUUUUUCUUCCUAUAAUCUUUUUCUUCUUUUGUCUUGUUUUUUUCCAUUUAUCUUGCAGAAACUUCAUGUUAGCCGUCUCUUUGAUGUCACGAAAAUUGAAGGAUACAUCUUCCAGCCUCCCCAUCUUUCUUUAAUCAAUUUUGUCAUCUGCAA